This 199-nucleotide long non-coding RNA is filed under the name Elaeis guineensis (African oil palm). RNAcentral's name for it is "long non-coding RNA (EGUI_LNC081815)". Lineage: Eukaryota; Viridiplantae; Streptophyta; Magnoliopsida; Arecales; Arecaceae. The record is from RNAcentral.
CUUCUCUGCAUGAACAAGCAUAUCUGAGAGAUCCUGAGGAUAAGUCUUAACUAAUAACUUUUUCAAGUCAUUCUUCAGGAGAUCACUCAUCAUUACAGCCAUCGUAGUCGACUGGUCCUAAUUUUGGACCUCUAGGGUCACCACAUUGAAUCUGUUCAUAAAGGAGCAGAUUGACUCACCAUCUUUUUGCUUGAUAGUA